Long non-coding RNA from Gopherus evgoodei (Goodes thornscrub tortoise), 101 nucleotides. RefSeq lists it as uncharacterized. The transcript is spliced from 3 exons. The record is from RefSeq and is a predicted model, not a curated record. Lineage: Eukaryota; Metazoa; Chordata; Testudines; Testudinidae.
UAAAAGAGGUAUAUCUGGAAUGUGGUAAGGCUUUUGAUACUGUUUCGCAUGACCUUUCCAUAAACAAACUAGCGAAAUACAACCUAGAUGGAGCUACUGUA